UACUCGAGUGGCGAACGGGUGAGUAACACGUGGGUGAUCUGCCCUGCACUCUGGGAUAAGCCUGGGAAACUGGGUCUAAUACCGGAUAGGACCAUGCUUUAGUGUGUGUGGUGGAAAGUUUUUUCGGUGUAGGAUGAGCCCGCGGCCUAUCAGCUUGUUGGUGGGGUAAUGGCCUACCAAGGCGGCGACGGGUAGCCGGACUGAGAGGUUGGUCGGCCACAUUGGGACCGAGAUACGGCCCAG
This 243-nucleotide ribosomal RNA is filed under the name uncultured Actinomycetales bacterium. RNAcentral describes it as "partial 16S ribosomal RNA". It matches the Rfam family "Bacterial small subunit ribosomal RNA", at positions 88 to 334 of the family's 1533-position model. The record is from RNAcentral. Lineage: Bacteria; Bacillati; Actinomycetota; Actinomycetes; Actinomycetales.